CGGUUCUUCAUCAGGCAGCCU
RNAcentral lists this microRNA (21 nucleotides) under Eisenia fetida (common brandling worm). RNAcentral describes it as "Efe-Mir-22-P1d_5p* (star (passenger))". The record is from RNAcentral. Lineage: Eukaryota; Metazoa; Annelida; Clitellata; Crassiclitellata; Lumbricidae.